Molecule: ribosomal RNA, 432 nt
Filed under: uncultured bacterium
Lineage: Bacteria
Description: partial 16S ribosomal RNA
Rfam family: Bacterial small subunit ribosomal RNA
Source: RNAcentral
GAUGAACGCUGGCGGUAUGCUUAACACAUGCCAGUCGAACGGUCACUUCGGUGAUAGUGGCGGACGGGUGAGUAACGCGUGAGAAUCUGUCUUCAGGUCGGGGACAACAGUUAGAAAUGACUGCUAAUACCGGAUGUGCCUUUGGGUGAAAGAUUUAUUGCCUGAAAAAGAGCUCGCGUCAGAUUAGCUAGUAGGUGGUGUAAGAGACUACCUAGGCUCCGAUCUGUAGCUGGUCUGAGAGGACGAUCAGCCACACUGGAACUGAGACACGGUCCAGACUCCUACGGGAGGCAGCAGUGGGGAAUUUUCCGCAAUGGGCGAAAGCCUGACGGAGCAAUACCGCGUGAGGGACGAAGGCUUUUGGGUCGUAAACCUCUUUUCUCAAGGAAGAUGAUGACGGUACUUGAGGAAUAAGCAUCGGCUAACUCUGUG